AGGACGAACGCUGGCGGCGUGCUUAACACAUGCAAGUCGAGCGAGGCCCUUCCUUCGGGAAGGUGCCCUAGCGGCGAACGGGUGAGUAACACGUGGGCAACCUGCCCCUAGCACUGGGAUAACUCCGGGAAACCGGGGCUAAUACCGGAUAUGACCUCCGAGGGCAUCCUUGGUGGUGUAAAGGAUUCUGGCUAGGGAUGGGCCCGCGGCCUAUCAGCUUGUUGGUGGGGUAAUGGCCUACCAAGGCGACGACGGGUA
This 258-nucleotide ribosomal RNA is filed under the name uncultured bacterium. Its description in RNAcentral is "partial small subunit ribosomal RNA". It matches the Rfam family "Bacterial small subunit ribosomal RNA", at positions 26 to 285 of the family's 1533-position model. The record is from RNAcentral.